RNAcentral lists this ribosomal RNA (492 nucleotides) under uncultured bacterium. RNAcentral describes it as "partial 16S ribosomal RNA". It matches the Rfam family "Bacterial small subunit ribosomal RNA", at positions 29 to 507 of the family's 1533-position model. The record is from RNAcentral.
AGUGAACGCUGGCGGUAGGCCUAACACAUGCAAGUCGAACGGCAGCACAGUAAGAGCUUGCUCUUACGGGUGGCGAGUGGCGGACGGGUGAGGAAUACAUCGGAAUCUACUUUUUCGUGGGGGAUAACGUAGGGAAACUUACGCUAAUACAGCAUCCGACCUACGGGUGAAAGCAGGGGAAAUUCGGACCUUGCGCGAAUGAAUGAGCCGCUGUCGGAUUAGUUAGUUGGCGGGGUUAAGGCCAACCAAGGGGGCGAUACGUAGCUGGUCUGAGAGAAUGAUCGCCCACACUGGAACGUAGCCACGGUCCAGGCUACUACGGUAGGCAGCAGUGGGGAAUAUGGGACAAUGGUCGCAAGCCUUACCCAGCCGUACCGCGUGGGUGAAGGAGGCCUUCGGUUUGUAAAGCCCUUUUUUUGGUAGAAAAACGCAGUCGGUUAUGACCCCGCGUUUCUGACGGUACCCAAUGAAGAAGCACCGGCUAACUUCGUG